Molecule: non-coding RNA, 441 nt
Organism: Coturnix japonica (Japanese quail)
Lineage: Eukaryota; Metazoa; Chordata; Aves; Galliformes; Phasianidae
Source: RefSeq, a predicted model, not a curated record
UUGUUGCCUUUUCUUUCCCAGGAAGAGUUGUGGUUUGAGGCAAACAGUCACUGAGUAGCUACAUAGUAUGAACAAACACUGAAGAAGUUGAAGUCUUGAAGAAUGUGGAGACAAAAGCAAAACCUGACUUCUCCAGGAAUACUGAAAAACAACUUUACUUAAUUCUAAGAACCUUCCAGCUCUCAGUCCUGAUUCAUAGUCUGAAGAGCAUAAUUUGGACAGAAUUCCAAACAUAGGAGAAAGGAUCCAUUUCUUCUUGGCUUUGGUCUAUGAGUUUUACCAAGCCCUUAAAACAGCCCUCAUGAAAGUGGAUUGAGUUUGGGUGAAUUUGUCCAAUGCGGAUUUAAAAUGCAAACUACUGGGGUGAAUACAGUAUGUGCAUAUCCUCUGUGCAUAUCUUCAUUAAAUCAAUUUAAUGAAAACAAAAUGAAAUUAAAUCAA